GUGCAGCAGUCGCGAAACUUCACACUGUGCGAAAGCACGAUGAGGGAAUCCCAAGUGCUUGCACGUAAGUGUAAGCUGUUUCUCUGUUUAAACGCAGAGAGAGUAAGGGCUGGGUAAGACGGGUGCCAGCCGCCGCGGUAAUACCUGCAGCUCAAGUGGUGACCGUUAUUAUUGGGCCUAAAACGUCCGUAGCCGGUUUAAUAAAUGCCUGGGUAAAUCGUGUAGCUUAACUAUACGAAUUCCGGGUAGACUGUUAAACUCGAGACCGGGAGAAGUUAGAGGUACUCCUGGGGUAGAGGUGAAAUUCUGUAAUCCUAGGGGACCACCAGUGGCGAAGGCGUCUAACUAGAACGGGUCUGACGGUGAGGGACGAAGCCCUGGGGCGCAAACGGGGAUUAGAUACCCCUGUAGU
Molecule: ribosomal RNA, 412 nt
Filed under: uncultured microorganism
Description: bacterial SSU rRNA
Rfam family: Archaeal small subunit ribosomal RNA
Source: RNAcentral